Molecule: ribosomal RNA, 716 nt
Filed under: uncultured bacterium
Lineage: Bacteria
Description: bacterial SSU rRNA
Rfam family: Bacterial small subunit ribosomal RNA
Source: RNAcentral
AGAUACCCUGGUAGUCCACGCCGUAAACGAUGAAUGCUAGGUGUUAGGGGGGUCCAACCCCUUAGUGCUGAAGGCAACCCAUUAAGCAUUCCGCCUGGGGAAUACGACCGCAAGGUUGAAACUCAAAGGAAUUGACGGGGGCCCGCACAAGCAGUGGAGCAUGUGGUUUAAUUCGAAGCAACGCGAAGAACCUUACCAGGUCUUGACAUCCUCCGCGAGCCGGAGAGAUCCGGGGUUCCCCUUCGGGGGACGGAGUGACAGGUGGUGCAUGGUUGUCGUCAGCUCGUGUCGUGAGAUGUUGGGUUAAGUCCCGCAACGAGCGCAACCCUUAAGCCCGGUUGCCAGCAUUAAGUUGGGCACUCGGGGCUGACUGCCGGUGACAAACCGGAGGAAGGUGGGGAUGACGUCAAAUCAUCAUGCCCCUGAUGAUCUGGGCGACACACGUGCUACAAUGGGCGGUACAAAGGGCAGCGAAGCCGCGAGGCGGAGCGAAUCCCGGAAAGCCGCCCCCAGUUCGGAUUGCAGGCUGCAACCCGCCUGCAUGAAGCCGGAAUUGCUAGUAAUCGCGGAUCAGCAUGCCGCGGUGAAUCCGUUCCCGGGCCUUGUACACACCGCCCGUCACACCACGAGAGUGAGUAACACCCGAAGUCGGUGGGGGAACCGCAAGGACCCAGCCGCCGAAGGUGGGACGCAUGAUUGGGGUGAAGUCGUAACAA